Carlito syrichta (Philippine tarsier) is the source of this 480-nucleotide RNA transcript. It is a transcript of the gene named 60S ribosomal protein L39 pseudogene, with no coding region annotated. The record is from RefSeq and is a predicted model, not a curated record. The transcript has a single exon. Lineage: Eukaryota; Metazoa; Chordata; Mammalia; Primates; Tarsiidae.
UGGAUGUGGGGGGAGAACAACACUGCUGCACUGUACAGAUUAGUCUUAUCAUAGCAAGUUGAAAAUUGGUUAUAGCCCUCUCUCUUCCUUUCUCCGCCAUCGUGGUGUGUGUGGUGGACUCUGUUGCUCGCCAUGUCUUCUCACAAGACUUUCAGGAUCAAGCGAUUCCUGGCCAAGAAACAGAAGCAAAAUUGUCCCAUUAUCCAGAGGAUUUGGAUGAAAACUGGUAAUAAAUCGAUCCAACUCCAAGAGGAGACAUUGGAGAAGAGCCAAGCUGGGUCUAUAAGGAAUUGCACAUGAGGUGGCACACUUGUUUAUGUUGAAUUACGGUCACUAUCAUCUUGCCAUUAUCAAGUUGAAAAUCUCCACAGUCAAGAAGUCAGAUAUGUUUAAUUGGGAUGUGAUUUUUUGUUUAUGUGCUUUGCACUAAUGGGCUGACUCAGUAAUAAAUAUGAAACCUUUUGUCUGAAAAAGAAAUUA